CCUAAUUCCACACCUAAGUGGUAAGCAACUAAUAAACUGUAGACGUUGGGAGUCCAGGUAUAGAAUGAAGGGUGUUGUAGCUUUGCUGAUGUUGCUGUGCAGCACCCUGACUGCGGCUAUGGUGACAACCCCAGAAAACGAAGACAAAAACUGCCCGUCUGGCAUGUGUGACAUCCUGAGGAAGAUUGAAGUCAUGGAAAACCGGCUUGCAGCUGCUGAGCGCCAGGUGGAGACGCUGAACGCUAAAGCAGAAACGAAGGUGGCAUUCUCAGCUGGAUUUGGGGUACUGGAUACUAUGGACCUUUCAAUGUUGAAAAACGCUUGUCUACCAAAAGGUCUUAACCAACCUUGGCAACGCUUACAACCCGGCAACAGGCAUCUUCACAGCACCAGUGGCAGGAGUCUAUCAGUUUAGCGUCUAUCACCAUUCAGGAUCAGGUCGCCGCUCAGACUCCUUGCUGUUCAAGAACAAAGAACAAAUGGCAUUUAUUUCUGCUAUGAACAAGGACGGCUCCUACAACGGAUCUAAUGGUAUCAUACUGCAGCUGGAGGAGGGAGAUGUGGUAUAUGUUGUUUUGAAGGAUAAUUCAUGGAUCUGGGACAAUAUGAGCAAUGCUGGUGCCAAUGGAUGGUGCCACUUCAACGGCAUUUUGCUGUAUGCUCAAUAAACCUCAGUAGAAUAUGUACAUACUGUUGCGAAAUAUUUUACCCUAAUCAAUUCCAUUAAAUGGUUUUCUGCAUAAAUCA
Oncorhynchus masou masou (cherry salmon) is the source of this 747-nucleotide long non-coding RNA. RefSeq lists it as uncharacterized. The record is from RefSeq and is a predicted model, not a curated record. Lineage: Eukaryota; Metazoa; Chordata; Actinopteri; Salmoniformes; Salmonidae. The transcript has 3 exons.